GGGCGAUUAGCUCAGUGGUAGAGCGCUUCGUUGACAUCGAAGAGGUCAGAAGUUCGAUACUUCUAUCGCCCACAA
Molecule: transfer RNA, 75 nt
Filed under: Candidatus Colwellbacteria bacterium RIFCSPHIGHO2_02_FULL_45_17
Lineage: Bacteria; Candidatus Colwelliibacteriota
Also listed under: 2 other names
Description: tRNA-Val
Rfam family: tRNA
About the family: Transfer RNA (tRNA) molecules are approximately 80 nucleotides in length. Their secondary structure includes four short double-helical elements and three loops (D, anti-codon, and T loops).
Source: RNAcentral